RNAcentral lists this ribosomal RNA (242 nucleotides) under uncultured bacterium. RNAcentral's name for it is "partial 16S ribosomal RNA". It matches the Rfam family "Bacterial small subunit ribosomal RNA", at positions 15 to 246 of the family's 1533-position model. The record is from RNAcentral.
GAUCCUGGCUCAUGAUGAACGCUAGCUACAGGCUUAACACAUGCAAGUCGGAGGGGCAGCAUGAACUUAGCUUGCUAAGUUUGAUGGCGACCGGCGCACGGGUGAGUAACACGUAUCCAACCUGCCGAUGACGUCGGGGAUAGCCUUUCGAAAGAAAGAUUAAUACCCGAUGGCAUAGUUCUUCCGCAUGGUAGAACUAUUAAAGAAUUUCGGUCAUCGAUGGGGAUGCGUUCCAUUUAGGG